RNAcentral lists this ribosomal RNA (497 nucleotides) under uncultured bacterium. Its description in RNAcentral is "partial 16S ribosomal RNA". It matches the Rfam family "Bacterial small subunit ribosomal RNA", at positions 28 to 507 of the family's 1533-position model. The record is from RNAcentral.
GACGAACGCUGGCGGCGUGCCUAAUACAUGCAAGUUGAGCGCUGAAGGUUGGUACUUGUACCAACUGGAUGAGCAGCGAACGGGUGAGUAACGCGUGGGGAAUCUGCCUUUGAGCGGGGGACAACAUUUGGAAACGAAUGCUAAUACCGCAUAAAGACUUUAAACACAAGUUUUAAGUUUGAAAGAUGCAAUUGCAUCACUCAAAGAUGAUCCCGCGUUGUAUUAGCUAGUUGGUGAGGUAAAGGCUCACCAAGGCGAUGAUACAUAGCCGACCCGAGAGGGUGAUCGGCCACAUUGGGACUGAGACACGGCCCAAACUCCUACGGGAGGCAGCAGUAGGGAAUCUUCGGCAAUGGACGAAAGUCUGACCGAGCAACGCCGCGUGAGUGAAGAAGGUUUUCGGAUCGUAAAACUCUGUUGGUAGAGAAGAACGUUGGUGAGAGUGGAAAGCUCAUCAAGUGACGGUAACUACCCAGAAAGGGACGGCUAACUACGUG